This 254-nucleotide ribosomal RNA is filed under the name uncultured bacterium. Its description in RNAcentral is "partial 16S ribosomal RNA". It matches the Rfam family "Bacterial small subunit ribosomal RNA", at positions 524 to 777 of the family's 1533-position model. The record is from RNAcentral.
UACAGAGGCCACAAGCGUUAGACGGAAUCACUGGGCUUAAAGCGUGUGUAGGCGGGAUGGUAAGUACCUUAUGAAAUCCCACAGCUUAACUGUGGAAAUGCUUGGUAUACUGCCGUUCUUGAGUCACCUAGGGGCAGCUGGAACAGAUGGUGGAGCGGUGAAAUGCAUAGAUAUCAUCUGGAACGCCAAUGGUGCAGACAAGCUGCUGGGGGUGUACUGACGCUGAGGCACGAAAGCCAGGGGAGCAAACGGGG